AAUCAACGCUGGCGGCGUGCCUAACACAUGCAAGUCGAACGCGAAAGUGGAGCAAUCCAUGAGUAGAGUGGCAAACGGGUGAGUAACACGUGGGUGACCUGCCUUCGAGCGGGGGAUAACGUCCCGAAAGGGACGCUAAUACCGCAUAACAUCCUGCCUUUUAAGAGGUGGAGAUCAAAGCCGGGGAUCGCAAGACCUGGCACUUGAAGAGGGGCCCGCGCCUGAUAGCUAGUUGGUGGGGUAAUGGCCUACCAAGGCAACGAUCAGUAUCCGGCCUGAGAGGGCGGACGGACACACUGGGACUGAGACACGGCCCAGACUCCUACGGGAGGCAGCAGUGGGGAAUUGUUCGCAAUGGGCGCAAGCCUGACGACGCAACGCCGCGUGGAGGAUGAAGACCUU
RNAcentral lists this ribosomal RNA (402 nucleotides) under uncultured bacterium. Its description in RNAcentral is "bacterial SSU rRNA". It matches the Rfam family "Bacterial small subunit ribosomal RNA", at positions 32 to 418 of the family's 1533-position model. The record is from RNAcentral.